RNAcentral lists this ribosomal RNA (464 nucleotides) under uncultured bacterium. Its description in RNAcentral is "partial 16S ribosomal RNA". It matches the Rfam family "Bacterial small subunit ribosomal RNA", at positions 338 to 794 of the family's 1533-position model. The record is from RNAcentral.
CCUACGGGAGGCAGCAGUGGGGAAUAUUGCGCAAUGGGCGAAAGCCUGACGCAGCGACGCCGCGUGAGGGAUGAAGGUCUUCGGAUCGUAAACCUCUGUCAGCAGGGAAGAACGGUCACUGUGCUAAUCAGCAUUGAAUUGACGGUACCUGCAAAGGAAGCACCGGCUAACUCCGGGCCAGCAGCCGCGGUAAUACGGAGGGUGCGAGGGUUAAUCGGAAUUACUGGGCGUAAGGCGCUCGUAGGCGGUAUGUCAAGUCAAGGGUGAAAUCCGCGCGCUCAACGUGGGAACUGACUUUGAAACUGAGAAACUGGGGGGAGUGAGAGGAGAGUGGAAUUCCGGGUGUAGGAGUGAAAUCCGUAGAUAUCUGGAGGAACAUCAGUGGCGAAGGCGACUAUCUGGCACAUAACUGACGCUGAGGAGCGAAAGCGUGGGUAGCAAACAGGAUUAGAUACCCGGGUAUC